RNAcentral lists this ribosomal RNA (439 nucleotides) under uncultured bacterium. RNAcentral's name for it is "partial 16S ribosomal RNA". It matches the Rfam family "Bacterial small subunit ribosomal RNA", at positions 339 to 795 of the family's 1533-position model. The record is from RNAcentral.
CUACGGGUGGCAGCAGUGGGGAAUCUUAGACAAUGGGCGCAAGCCUGAUCUAGCCAUGCCGCGUGAGUGAUGAAGGCCUUAGGGUCGUAAAGCUCUUUCGCUGGGGAAGAUAAUGACGGUACCCAGUAAAGAAACCCCGGCUAACUCCGUGCCAGCAGCCGCGGUAAUACGGAGGGGGUUAGCGUUGUUCGGAAUUACUGGGCGUAAAGCGCGCGUAGGCGGACUGUUAAGUCGGGGGUGAAAUCCCGGGGCUCAACCCCGGCACGGCCUUCGAUACUGGCAGUCUGGAGUUCGAGAGAGGUGAGUGGAAUUCCGAGUGUAGAGGUGAAAUUCGUAGAUAUUCGGAGGAACACCAGUGGCGAAGGCGACUCACUGGCUCGAUACUGACGCUGAGGUGCGAAAGUGUGGGGAGCAAACAGGAUUAGAUACCCUCGUAGUC